AGCAGCCGCGGUAAUUCCAGCUCCAAUAGCGUAUAUUAAAGUUGUUGCAGUUAAAAAGCUCGUAGUUGAACUUCGGGGUUCACCCAUUGGUCAGGCUUAAUUGUCUGUACUGGUGAGAUGAGUCUCUACCUUCUGAGGAACUUUCAUGCCACUUAUUUGGUGUGAUUGGAAAUCAGGGCUGUUACUUUGAAAAAAUUAGAGUGUUUAAAGCAGGCUCACGCUUGAAUACAUUAGCAUGGAAUAAUGAAAUAGGACGUUCGACCCUAUUUUGUUGGUUUCUAGGAUCAACGUAAUGAUUAAUAGGGAUAGUUGGGGGCAUUAGUAUUCAAUUGUCAGAGGUGAAAUUCUUGGAUUUAUUGAAGACUAACUACUGCGAAAGCAUUUGCCAAGGAUGUUUUCAUUAAUCAAGAACGAAAGUUAGGGGAUCGAAGACGAUCAGAUACCGUCGUAGUCUUAACCAUAAACUAUGCCGACUAGGAUCGGAUGAUGUUAAUUUUUAAUUGUACUCAUUCGUCG
RNAcentral lists this ribosomal RNA (516 nucleotides) under uncultured Diversispora. RNAcentral's name for it is "SSU rRNA". It matches the Rfam family "Eukaryotic small subunit ribosomal RNA", at positions 569 to 1085 of the family's 1831-position model. The record is from RNAcentral. Lineage: Eukaryota; Fungi; Glomeromycota; Glomeromycetes; Diversisporales; Diversisporaceae.